UGAAGCUUGAUAGACCAUGCUCAGCAUCCAUCACAUCACAGGGAAAGGAGGAAAAAACCAUGGAGAGACAGAAGCCACAUUGUCCUUCUCAUCCAGCGAAGCAGGACCACGCAAGGUGGGUGCGGCUUGGAGAAGAGCAGCAAAUGCCAUCUUCCCAAAUGAAACAGUAUCCGUAACACCAAAGAAUAUUGGCAUCAGAGGUGAAAAAUUCCACAAGCAAGUCCACAGAUCAGAAACUCUUGCUUUGUGUGUGUGUGUGUGUGUG
This is a long non-coding RNA of Pogona vitticeps (central bearded dragon), 265 nucleotides long. RefSeq lists it as uncharacterized. The record is from RefSeq and is a predicted model, not a curated record. Lineage: Eukaryota; Metazoa; Chordata; Lepidosauria; Squamata; Agamidae.